Mastomys coucha (southern multimammate mouse) is the source of this 507-nucleotide long non-coding RNA. RefSeq lists it as uncharacterized. The transcript has 3 exons. The record is from RefSeq and is a predicted model, not a curated record. NCBI's taxonomy places the organism in Eukaryota, Metazoa, Chordata, Mammalia, Rodentia, Muridae.
AAGCAUGCCACCAAAAUGAGCUCUUGAACUCAUCAGGCCCUCAGGCCGAAAGCAGAGAGUUGGCAAGGCAGUGAAAAGAUGCCUGGAGAGGCCAGUGGAGGGACCUCCCGCUAAGAGCAGCCUUCAAAUCAAUGGAGCCCAGGAAGUCAGUGAGAUUACCCAUCACUCUCUGAGUGCCUGCUAGAUCUGUCGACCUGGAGAAGACAGGGAGAAGGAGCUCCGACAGCCUGCGAGAAAGGAUAGUGGAAAGCGCUAGAACAACCAGAGGGACGGAAUGCUGCUGUAUAGUUCAGCCGCUCUGGCUGUCCGUCUUAGAGGUCUUCUGCUCAUGGGGUGUGCCCUUGAAAGACAGAAUGGUUCAGAGGUUAAGAGCACCUGCUGCUCUUGUGGAGGACCUGAGUUGAGUUCUUAGCACCCGCACCAGGCAGCUAGCUCACUGCUACCUGUAACUCUAGCCCUAAGGGAGCUGACAUCCUCUUCUGGAUCUGGGAACAGCCAUGUGCACAC